RNAcentral lists this transfer RNA (72 nucleotides) under Minisyncoccota bacterium. Its description in RNAcentral is "tRNA-Arg". It matches the Rfam family "tRNA". Rfam says of the family: Transfer RNA (tRNA) molecules are approximately 80 nucleotides in length. Their secondary structure includes four short double-helical elements and three loops (D, anti-codon, and T loops). The record is from RNAcentral. Lineage: Bacteria; Bacillati; Minisyncoccota.
GCUCCCAUAGGCUAACGGAUAGACCACAAGGUUCCGAACCUUGAGGUAGUGGUUCGAUUCCACUUGGGAGCA